CGGCGGUUCCCAGGGCGACACGCAGGCGCAGUGUCUGGCCGGGAGGCUGCGCUCCCGCUCAUUGUGCAGCCUGCGAUGUGGCAGGCUGGAGCUCGCGGCGGCGACGCGGUGGCGACACCGCGCCCGGUGGCCCAUGUCGAGAGUUGGGAGGACGGAGUGGAUGGAACGGAGAAGGCCGGGGCCAAGGCCGAGCUGGUCCCGCUCGGGGCGCGUGCUGGGUCCGGUCGCGCCGGACUUCCCGGGAGGAGUGAGGAUGCUGUGAGCAUCGGGGAUGUCGUGGUGGUCUUCACGCCCGACGAGUGGACGCAGCUGAGCCCGGCCCAGCAGGCCCUGUACCAGGAGGUCAUGCUGGAGACCUACAGCCACCUGGUGGCGCUGGGACUCGUGGGGCCCAGACCGGAGCUGCACAGUGGGGCCGUGGGCAGCAGCUUCCGCCCUGAUUGGCUGACAGUGCUCAAGAGUCAAAAGUCAACUCUUCAGGCAGCUCUUCCCGGAGAAUUAGAUCCGCGGCGGCGGGAGCCCACCCGCCUGGUCGGGCGGGGAAGCAGAGACCCACAGGGACCGCGGCCACUCAGUCCUGUGACCCGGCCGGCCGCGUGGGCCGGGGGCGGCGGCGGGCAGGGCCAGGCUGGGCCGGGGAGGGUCUGCUCGCCCACUCUGGGGCCCUCGGCUGUCCCGAGCCCGGAGCCCCCGCCCGGCGGGGCCGCCCUGGCCUGUGGCGAGUGCGGGAAAUGCUUCUCCCGCAGCUCGUCCCUGCAGCGGCACCGGCGGGUGCACGGCAGCGGGCCGCCUGCGCCUUCGCCGACCCGGGAGAAGCGGUACGCGUGCCGGGAGUGCGGGAAGGCCUUCCGCCAGAGCACGCACCUCAUCCACCACCAGCGCGUGCACACGGGCGAGCGGCCCUACGCGUGCACCGAGUGCGGCAAGGCCUUCUCGGUCAGCUCCUCGCUCGCCUACCACCAGAAGAUCCACACGGGCGAGAAGCCCUUCGCGUGCCAGCUGUGCGGGAAGGCCUUCAUCCGCAGCAUCCACCUGGCCCACCACCUGCGGCUGCACACGGGCGAGAAGCCCUUCCGCUGCGACACCUGCGACAAGGCCUUCGUGUGCCGCGCGCACCUCACCAAGCACCAGAACACGCACAGCGGCGACAGGCCCUACAAGUGCGGCGCGUGCGGCCGCGCCUUCGGCCAGAGCACCAGCUUCCUGCAGCACCAGCGCAUCCACACGGGCGAGAAGCCGUUCGAGUGCCCCGAGUGCGGCAAGGCCUUCCGCGUGAACGCGUCGCUCACCGAGCACCAGCGCAUCCACACGGGCGAGAAGCCCUACCGCUGCACCGAGUGCGGCAAGGCCUUCCGCGACAACUCCUCCUUCGCCCGCCACCGCAAGAUCCACACGGGCGAGCGGCCCUACCGCUGCGGGCUGUGCCACAAGGCCUUCCGGGACCAGUCGGCGCUGGGCCAGCACCAGCGCACCCACACGGGCGAGAAGCCCUACACCUGCCCCAGCUGCGGCAAGGCCUUCAGCGACCACUCGGCGCUCACGCAGCACAAGCGCAUCCACACGCGCGAGAAGCCCUACGCGUGCAAGGUGUGCGGGAAGGCCUUCCUGCGCUCCACGCACCUCACGCAGCACCAGCGCAUCCACACGGGCGAGAAGCCCUACCAGUGCUCCCGCUGCGGGAAGGCCUUCAACCAGACGGCCAACCUCAUCCAGCACCAGCGCCACCACGGGGCAGACAAGUGACGGCGGCCGGCUGGGGACCCCGGCGGGAGGCAGACUCGGGGGGUGACCACGGGACGCGUCCUUCUGCGGGGCGAGAGGCGAGCUCGGCUGGACUGGGAUUCAGGAUUCACGUGGCCGCAUCUAACCCCUCCCUCCCCCGGCGCUCGUUCAGAAUCAGCCGCCCUCUUUUCUUUUUUUUUUUUUUUUGCUUUUUGGGUCACGCCCGGCGAUGCACAGGGGUCACUCCUGGCUCAUGCACUCAGAAAUCACCCCUGGCGGUGCUCAGGGGACCAUAUGGGAUGCUGGGAUUCGAACCCGGGUCGGCCGCGUGCAAGGCAAACGCCCUACCUGCUGUGCUAUCGCUCCAGCCCCCAGCCGCCCUCUUUUCAUUUCUCUGACUCAUGCGGGGAGUGGAGCUACAGUGGCGCUCUCUGAACCCCGACAGAGUUGGACUCUUGAGUCUCGUUGUUCGGGGGCCAGGCCUCGUGGUGCUCAGGGGCUGUUGUCUAGCCCCCGUGCUCCCGUGGAUGGCACUGGUGGUGGGGGUGGGAGUUGGGCCUGUCAUCUGCACAGCCUCCGUUCCUAGCCCUGGGGACGCCUCUCUGACCCCGACCUUUGGAGUCCCAAGAGAAACAGUGAAAUUGAAUAAUCAAAAGACCAGCAAAAUAAUCAGAAAUGCAAAAUGGUUUCCACUGAGUUCCACCAUGACCCCCUGGGGUCCAGCAUGACAGCUGACCUCCGGGCCAAAGACCUGACUUCCUGUGCGAGGACCCCGGGCCGCCCUGGGGCAGUGUGAGCGCUUUCCCUCCCCAGAGUCUCCACAUUCUCCUCUGUAGCCACACAGGAGGCUGCAGCCCCCAAGUGAGUUGUUGGGAGCCCAUCGCUGCAUGCCCAGGAGUCGCCACCGCCCAGCCUUGCCCUGCUCUGGCCCAGUUCCCUGAGGCAUUGACUGUCCCCGUCCUCUGUGGCGUCAUUCCUGUCACUCAAGUGUGGGAUUUCCUUCUGGGAUCCUUGUGAUGGGAAGG
This is an RNA transcript of Sorex araneus (European shrew), 2747 nucleotides long. It is a transcript of the gene named zinc finger protein 454, with no coding region annotated. The record is from RefSeq and is a predicted model, not a curated record. The transcript is spliced from 5 exons. NCBI's taxonomy places the organism in Eukaryota, Metazoa, Chordata, Mammalia, Eulipotyphla, Soricidae.